GACGAACGCUGGCGGCGUGCUUAACACAUGCAAGUCGAACGGAGUGGCGAACGGGUGAGUAACACGUGGGUGAUCUGCCUUGCACUUCGGGAUAAGCUUGGGAAACUGGGUCUAAUACCGGAUAGUGCAAGAUGAGCUCGCGGCCUAUCAGCUUGUUGGUGGGGUAAUGGCCUACCAAGGCGUCGACGGGUAGCCGGCCUGAGAGGUGGUACGGGCACAUUGGGACUGAGAGACGGCCCAGACUGCUACGGGGGGCAGCAGGGGGGAAUAUUGCACAACGGGCGGAAGCGUGAUGCGGCGACGCCGGGUGGGGGAUGAAGGCCUUCGGGGUGUAAACGCCUUUCGACAGGGACGCGGUACCUGUAUAAGAAGCACCGGCUAACUACGUGCCAGCCGCCGCGGUAAUUC
This 408-nucleotide ribosomal RNA is filed under the name uncultured bacterium. RNAcentral's name for it is "partial 16S ribosomal RNA". It matches the Rfam family "Bacterial small subunit ribosomal RNA", at positions 28 to 526 of the family's 1533-position model. The record is from RNAcentral.